AUUGAACGCUGGCGGCAGGCCUAACACAUGCAAGUCGAACGGUAACAGGAAGCAGCUUGCUGCUUUGCUGACGAGUGGCGGACGGGUGAGUAAUGUCUGGGAAACUGCCCGAUGGAGGGGGAUAACUACUGGAAACGGUAGCUAAUACCGCAUAACGUCGCAAGACCAAGAGGGGGACCUUAGGGCCUCUUGCCAUUGGAUGUGCCCAGAUGGGAUUAGCUAGUAGGUGGGGUAACGGCUCACCUAGGCGACGAUCCCUAGCUGGUCUGAGAGGAUGACCAGCCACACUGGAACUGAGACACGGUCCAGACUCCUACGGGAGGCAGCAGUGGGGAAUAUUGCACAAUGGGCGCAAGCCUGAUGCAGCCAUGCCGCGUGUAUGAAGAAGGCCUUCGGGUUGUAAAGUACUUUCAGCGGGGAGGAAGGGAGUAAAGUUAAUACCUUUGCUCAUUGACGUUACCCGCAGAAGAAGCACCGGCUAACUCCGUG
This 489-nucleotide ribosomal RNA is filed under the name uncultured bacterium. RNAcentral's name for it is "partial 16S ribosomal RNA". It matches the Rfam family "Bacterial small subunit ribosomal RNA", at positions 30 to 507 of the family's 1533-position model. The record is from RNAcentral.